CUUGCUAAGUUUGAUGGCGACCGGCGCACGGGUGAGUAACACGUAUCCAACCCGCCGAUGACUCGGGGAUAGCCUUUCGAAAGAAAGAUUAAUACCCGAUGGCAUAGUUCUUCCGCAUGGUAGAACUAUUAAAGAAUUUCGGUCAUCGAUGGGGAUGCGUUCCAUUAGGUUGUUGGCGGGGUAACGGCCCACCAAGCCUUCGAUGGAUAGGGGUUCUGAGAGGAAGGUCCCCCACAUUGGAACUGAGACACGGUCCAAACUCCUACGGGAGGCAGCAUG
RNAcentral lists this ribosomal RNA (279 nucleotides) under uncultured bacterium. RNAcentral describes it as "partial 16S ribosomal RNA". It matches the Rfam family "Bacterial small subunit ribosomal RNA", at positions 76 to 353 of the family's 1533-position model. The record is from RNAcentral.